GGAACUUGGAGAUCUCUCCAAGGGGCUGAAAGCUGGAAGUUGUAUGAAGGUGUUCCUUUCCCCCACCCCAGCUACUCCGCCCCAGUCGAAAAGGCUAAUUCUAGACCUCUUAUUUUUAAAAAAAGAAAGAAAAGGUCACCUGAAGUCCCAACCCCCAUGUAUCUCUCAGUGCCUGUCUGGUCCAGAGGGAGCCAGUGACUCUGCCAGCACAUCACCAUUUUGUGCCCCACCAGGGGGUGGUCCAUGGAGUCAUCUCAGCUUUCAGCCCAGACCUCGCUCACUCUUUCCCCAAGCCACGCCAACAUUCCUUGGUCUCUCCCAAGCCAGGAGGCAGAUAUUUAUUGGGCAUCUUCAACAACCAGGCUCUGUUCAUGGUGCUGAAGAACAGCAUGUAUGAACAACCCUGCCCUCACAUGGCGGCCACCGGUGACCUGUGGUGUGGAUUCUCCUGUUACCUCUGUCUCCUCCUUCCUGCUGUCAUCAUCCUUGGUCCUCCUCUGUCACCUGGAAUCCUCCACUUGGUAACCAGCAGGAUCUUAUAACCCUAGUUCUACCCUUGUCAGCA
Molecule: long non-coding RNA, 565 nt
Organism: Piliocolobus tephrosceles (Ugandan red Colobus)
Lineage: Eukaryota; Metazoa; Chordata; Mammalia; Primates; Cercopithecidae
Exons: 3
Source: RefSeq, a predicted model, not a curated record